CGCCCUUGAGUUUGAUCAUGGCUCAGAAUGAACGUUGGCGGCGUGGAUUAGGCAUGCAAGUCGAGCGAGAACUGUAGCAAUACAGGGAAAGCGGCGAAAGGGAGAGUAAUACGUAGGUACCUACCCUCGGGUCUGGGAUAGCUGCGGGAAACUGCAAUUAAUACCGGAUGAUGUCUCUGGACCAAAGGUGUGAUUCCGCCAGGGGAUGGGCCUGCGUCCUAUUAGCUAGUUGGUGUGGUAAUGGCGCACCAAGGCUAAGAUGGGUACGGGGUGUGAGAGCAUGCCCCCGCUCACUGGGACUGAGAUACUGCCCAGACACCUACGGGUGGCUGCAGUCGAGGAUCUUCCGCAAUGGGCGCAAGCCUGACGGAGCGACGCCGCGUGCGGGAUGAAGGUUUUCUGGUUGUAAACCGCUGUCAGUGGGGAGCAAAUGCAUCGGGGUUCUCCCCGGUGUUUGAGCGAUCCGCAGAGGAAGCACAGGCUAAUUCCGUGCCAGCAGCCGCGGUACAAGGGCG
RNAcentral lists this ribosomal RNA (515 nucleotides) under uncultured Planctomycetota bacterium. Its description in RNAcentral is "bacterial SSU rRNA". It matches the Rfam family "Bacterial small subunit ribosomal RNA", at positions 1 to 530 of the family's 1533-position model. Lineage: Bacteria; Pseudomonadati; Planctomycetota. The record is from RNAcentral.